Long non-coding RNA from Pipistrellus kuhlii (Kuhl's pipistrelle), 548 nucleotides. RefSeq lists it as uncharacterized. The transcript is spliced from 3 exons. NCBI's taxonomy places the organism in Eukaryota, Metazoa, Chordata, Mammalia, Chiroptera, Vespertilionidae. The record is from RefSeq and is a predicted model, not a curated record.
CGCCCCAGGAUAUCUCUUCUAUCAUGCUUUGUGUUUGCAUGUUUGGUGUAACACUUGGAGGCCUUCUGAGACGGAUGUUGUUGAUGCAUGUCAUCUCCUCUGAGUGUCAGUUGGCCAAGCUUCCUCAGAUGUGGAGGACGCACAGGCAGCCUCUGACAAUCCUGUGACAGAGCGAAUUUACAUAUGAAAAGCAUAGAAAGCAUGAUUAUAUGGCUCGAUAAAUGUUCAAAAAAUGUACCCACUACUUAAGUGGGGAAACAGCAGCCCUGAGGAGCAUACAUAGAGGCAGGGAUGCCUUGACUGAAAUGUCAUGGAUUUCUUUUACCAUGUCAAGAAUAAAAUGAAGAAAGCCAGUGAACUGUCCAGAUGAAUUCAGUGGUAUCCAAGAAGAUGCUCAGAUGAGAAAAAAAAUGGCCAGAAAUAAAAGAUUCAUUUGAAUAGAAGUCUGAGUAGAAGCUUUGUUCUCAGAAGUAUUAGAAAUGCCUAAAAGUGUCCUGUGGUCAAAUUAAUUUUAAAAUGUUGGAAUGAAUAAAACUAUGUUUGAUUAU